AUCCUGUUGGUGCAAAAAUCUGCUUGCGCCGGAGAAGCUGGAGUCGGGGAAGCCGCGGUCGCCGUCGGGACCUGCAAAGGAAGUCUAAACCGGAGGUGGGGUUGCUCCGGCAAGACCCUCCGACGCUCAAGUCAGUUCUCUACCUCAACAAGAAUGGAGUGCUCGAACGGAGAAUUUAGCAGAGUUUUGAGAUAAGAAAAUGAGCUUAGAGAAUAACGUAUCUGGGUCCCC
RNAcentral lists this long non-coding RNA (231 nucleotides) under Elaeis guineensis (African oil palm). RNAcentral's name for it is "long non-coding RNA (EGUI_LNC056293)". The record is from RNAcentral. Lineage: Eukaryota; Viridiplantae; Streptophyta; Magnoliopsida; Arecales; Arecaceae.